RNAcentral lists this ribosomal RNA (253 nucleotides) under uncultured bacterium. Its description in RNAcentral is "partial 16S ribosomal RNA". It matches the Rfam family "Bacterial small subunit ribosomal RNA", at positions 524 to 776 of the family's 1533-position model. The record is from RNAcentral.
UACGAAGGGGGCUAGCGUUGCUCGGAAUCACUGGGCGUAAAGCGCACGUAGGCGGCUUUCUAAGUCAGGGGUGAAAUCCUGGAGCUCAACUCCAGAACUGCCUUUGAUACUGGAGAGCUUGAGUCCGGGAGAGGUGAGUGGAACUCCGAGUGUAGAGGUGAAAUUCGUAGAUAUUCGGAAGAACACCAGUGGCGAAGGCGACUUACUGGACACAUAUUGACGCUGAGGUGCGAAAGCGUGGGGAGCAAACAGG